AACGAACGCUGGCGGCGUGCCUAAGCCAUGCAAGUCGAACGGGUUGUCGCAAGACAAUCAGUGGCGAACUGGUGAGUAAUACGUGGGUAAUCUGCCCGAGAGUGGGGAAUAGCCCUUCCAACGAGGGGGUAACACCGCAUAUUAUCGCGAAUCCGCAUGGAUUUGCGAUGAAAACAGGGGAUCGCAAGACCUUGUGCUCUCGGAUGAACCCGCGCCCCAUUAGCUAGUUGGUGAGGUAACGGCUCACCAAGGCGACGAUGGGUAGCCGGCCUGAGAGGGUGACCGGCCACACUGGGACUGAGAUACGGCCCAGACUCCUACGGGAGGCAGCAGGCGGGAAUAUUGGGCAAUGGACGAAAGUCUGACCCAGCGACGCCGCGUGAGGGAUGAAGCUUCUCGGAGCGUAAACCUCAAACGGAUAGGGACGAAAAGCCUAUCGGCUAAUAUCCGGUAGGCCUGACGGUACCUGUUACGAAGCUCCGGCUAACUCCGUG
Molecule: ribosomal RNA, 494 nt
Filed under: uncultured bacterium
Lineage: Bacteria
Description: bacterial SSU rRNA
Rfam family: Bacterial small subunit ribosomal RNA
Source: RNAcentral